This 41-nucleotide ribosomal RNA is filed under the name Culex mollis. Its description in RNAcentral is "partial 5.8S ribosomal RNA". The record is from RNAcentral. Lineage: Eukaryota; Metazoa; Arthropoda; Insecta; Diptera; Culicidae.
CACAUCGUACAACGGUACGAUGUACACAUUUUUGAGUGCCU